Molecule: ribosomal RNA, 609 nt
Filed under: uncultured Basidiomycota
Lineage: Eukaryota; Fungi; Basidiomycota
Description: LSU rRNA
Rfam family: Eukaryotic large subunit ribosomal RNA
Source: RNAcentral
AGCAUAUCAAUAAGCGGAGGAAAAGAAACUAACCAGGAUUCCCUUAAUAACUGCGAGUGAAGAGGGAAAAGCUCAAAUUUAAAAUCUGGCGGUCAGUUUGGCCGUCCGAGUUGUAAAUUAGAGAAGCGUUUAUCCGCGCUGGACCGUGCAAAAGUCUCUUGGAAAGGAGCAUCAUAGAGGGUGACAAUCCCGUCUUUGGCACGGACUACCAGGGCAUUUGUGAUGCGCUCUCAAAGAGUCGAGUUGUUUGGGAAUGCAGCUCUAAAUGGGUGGUAAACUCCAUCUAAAGCUAAAUAUUGGCGAGAGACCGAUAGCGCACAAGUACCGUGAGGGAAAGAUGAAAAGGACUUCGAAAAGAGAGUUAAACAGUACGUGAAAUUGUUGAAAGGGAAACGCUUGAAGUCAGUCGCGUUCUUCAGAAAUCAACUUUGACCUUUGGGUUGAGUGCACUUUCUGUUUGGACGGGUCAGCAUCAAUUUUGACCGCCGGAAAAGGGCUUGGGGAAAGUGACAUCCUUUGUUGAUGUGUUAUAGACCCGAGUACAUAUUACGGUGGUUGGGAUUGAGGAACGCAGCGCAUUUAACUGGGGCCUAUCGCUCACACAGUGUC